ACAAACGCUGGCGGCGUGCCUAAUACAUGCAAGUCGAACGAGGUAGCAAUACCAAGUGGCGCACGGGUGAGUAACACGUAGAUAAUCUGCCUUGGAGUGGGGAACAACUCAGCGAAAGCUGAGCUAACACCGCAUGAGACCACAACGUCUGAGGACGAAGGGGUUAAAAAUUUAUUGCUCCAAGAUGAGUCUGCGUCAGAUUAGCUAGUUGGUGAGGUAAUGGCUCACCAAGGCUACGAUCUGUAGCUGGUCUGAGAGGAUGAUCAGCCACACUGGAACUGAGACACGGUCCAGACUCCUACGGGAGGCAGCAGUAGGGAAUAUUGCGCAAUGGGGGAAACCCUGACGCAGCAACGCCGCGUGAGUGAUGAAGGCUUUCGGGUCGUAAAGCUCUGUUGCAAGGGAAAAAGAAAGUGAUUGUACCUUGCGAGAAAGGACCGGCAAACUUCGU
Molecule: ribosomal RNA, 451 nt
Filed under: uncultured bacterium
Lineage: Bacteria
Description: bacterial SSU rRNA
Rfam family: Bacterial small subunit ribosomal RNA
Source: RNAcentral